UGGGGAAUCUUGGCCAAUGGGCGCAAGCCUGAUCUAGCCAUGCCGCGUGUGUGAAGAAGGCCUUUUGGUUUUUAAGCACUUUCAGCGAGGAUGUGGCCACUUGGUUUAUUACUCUCGGACUGUGGACGUUACUCGCAGAAUAAGCACCGGCUAACUCUGUGCCAGCAGCCGCGGUAAUACAGAGGGUGCGAGCGUUAAUCGGAUUUACUGGGCGUAAAGCGUGCGUAGGCGGCUUCUUAAGUGGGAUGUGGAAUCCCUGAGGAUAACAGAGGAAUUGGAUUGGAGACUGGGGAGGUGGAGGAUGGGAGAGGAUGGUAGAAUAGCAGAUGUAGCAGUGAAAUGCAUAGGGAUGUAGUAGAAUACCGAUGGCGAAGGCAGCCAUCUGGACUAAUAAUGACGAUGAGGUACGAAAGCAUGGGGAGCAAACAGG
Molecule: ribosomal RNA, 430 nt
Filed under: Acidobacteriota bacterium
Lineage: Bacteria; Pseudomonadati; Acidobacteriota
Description: Acidobacteria bacterium partial 16S ribosomal RNA
Rfam family: Bacterial small subunit ribosomal RNA
Source: RNAcentral